AUUUUUACUCUUUCUUCAUUUUCUUUAUUUUCUUUCCCUUUCUUUCCCUUUCUUUUGUUUUCUUUUAUUUUCUUUUCGGGAAGGGAAGUUCAGCAUCAAGGAGAAACAGAACGAGAAAACAAAAACAA
RNAcentral lists this non-coding RNA (128 nucleotides) under Palpitomonas bilix. The record is from RNAcentral.